Molecule: ribosomal RNA, 206 nt
Filed under: uncultured bacterium
Lineage: Bacteria
Description: partial 16S ribosomal RNA
Rfam family: Bacterial small subunit ribosomal RNA
Source: RNAcentral
UGCGUAGGUGGUUUCUUAAGUCAGAGGUGAAAGGCUACGGCUCAACCGUAGUAAGCCUUUGAAACUGGGAAACUUGAGUGCAGGAGAGGAGAGUGGAAUUCCUAGUGUAGCGGUGAAAUGCGUAGAUAUUAGGAGGAACACCAGUUGCGAAGGCGGCUCUCUGGACUGUAACUGACACUGAGGCGCGAAAGCGUGGGGAGCGAACA